ACAGUGGUGGUGAAGUUGUAGAAUUCUCACCUUCCAUGUGAGAGGCCUGGGUUCAAUGCCCGGCUGAUGCA
RNAcentral lists this transfer RNA (71 nucleotides) under Loxodonta africana (African savanna elephant). It matches the Rfam family "tRNA". From Rfam's summary of the family: Transfer RNA (tRNA) molecules are approximately 80 nucleotides in length. The record is from Rfam by way of RNAcentral. Lineage: Eukaryota; Metazoa; Chordata; Mammalia; Proboscidea; Elephantidae.